This is a long non-coding RNA of Peromyscus californicus insignis, 3252 nucleotides long. RefSeq lists it as uncharacterized. NCBI's taxonomy places the organism in Eukaryota, Metazoa, Chordata, Mammalia, Rodentia, Cricetidae. The transcript has 3 exons. The record is from RefSeq and is a predicted model, not a curated record.
CAAAUAUGGAGCAGGGCAUUCUGGGGUUCGUAGUUUUUGUCUUAGACAGACUCGGGACGGGGUCUGUCGUGAGACAGCAAGAAGGACUUGCCACGGGACGAAGAAAAAUAAGAGGGCAUCGGAUCCCCUGGAACAGUUGUGAGCCAUUGGCAAUCGAACUCCACUAGUCUACAGGAACAGCAGGCACUCUUCACCCUGAGCCAUCAAGGCCAGUCAGAUGUUGAUUUUUUAAAACUUACUGGUCACAAGAACAAUAUGCUCCUGGAUCUUGCAGAACUUCAAAAUGAAUGGGACCAGAACACUACCAAAGUAACCCGUGCUCCUUGAAAAUAGACAGAAAUGCUUUUUCUGGCAUAGCAGAACUCUAAUUGUUGGAAGCCUAGAGAAAUCAAGUGAAGAACGAUCCUACAGCAAGAGAAUCAACUGAUCCUGAAGGGAAGGUGUACUUCUGAGGACCCCUAGCUUUGUGUGGGAGAGUUUUGUGUUAUACGUAUGUGGGUGGGUAUGCAUACCCAGGUGGGCGGAGUCUCACUUCUCUCCUGCCAUGUGUGUUCCUGAGCCUGAGUUCGGGUUGCCAGGCUUGGCAGCAAGUGUUCAUAGCUGUUGAACUAUCACACAGGCCUUGGUUUCAUUUUUAAAUGCAAUACUGGACAAUUCAGCUUCAUUAUGGUUGUUUUAGAGAUAGAUGCCUUUGCACUUUGGCUAGAAAGGGUAAAGAUAGUGACCAGUUUGAAGACACAGAUAAUGCCGGAAGUCAUUCAAGGUCAACCUUGAUCCCCGGUCUCAAACUACAAUAAUAGUGAUGAGUCUAGAUAAGUAAACCUCACAAUGUGUGCGAAAGGGGGUGAGAUGGAAGGGGGAAAGAGUAAGAGAGAAACACAAAGACAGGAAAGGGAAGGAGAGAUGCGUAUGGUGGGGACAGGUACUGAGGGAACACCGUGUAAAGACACACGGAGAUGGCGGCAGCCAUCCAAAGGCCAAGGAGGGGCCACGGAGGAAACUGUAACAGUGGUGACCCCCUUCAUCGUAGACUUCUACAGUCCAUGAGUAUGAGAAGUCUAAUGUAUGUUCAUGUUAGCCACCCAGACUGAUACUCUCAUGGCAGGCGGCCUUGGCAGAGGAAUAUGUUGCCCUAGAAAGAACGCCUGAGAGAGAGCGAUGGGGAUCUCUGUUCAGAGAAGUCAGUGCUGAGAAAGUGCACCGAGCAAAGACAUGAAAAGACUCAGCGAACUAUGAUGGGAUCAAAAGAUUUAGCAAAUUGUAUUAAAGGGAAAAGGACACUGAGAUACUUUUCCUUCUGUUAAUUAUCCUAUAAUCUGCAGAACUGGAGCUCUCUGGAGAUACAGAGACUGUCUAAAUUAAUACCCAAGAUGAAGAGAAAAUGGGCAGUCACCUUCAUCCCAGUCCAUAGACUCCAAAAUGUCGAAUGAGCACCAAGUUUCAUUUUUAAUUGUAAGACAAAAUGCAUUUGAUACCAUUUGUACCCUGAUUUAAGGACAAGGCACUUCUAAAGAAAAUGAAUAUCAUGAAUUAUGUAGCUCAAAAACUGCUUAGAAAAAGAAUAAAGGGAAGUUAUGUCUUUCCUCGUGGCUCAUUAAAGAAAUUAUGGAAAUUAGAGAACCUGAAUAUGUAAAACAAAAAGGCCUGAAGGAUGGAUUUUGGUUGGUCAUGGCAAAUGCUACAUAUGGCUUGUUUGAGCUCAGUCAUUCUAAGCUCAGGUUCUACACUGGAAUCAGAGUAUUUUUAUAUGACCAAUGCUGAGAUCCCACCACCAAACAUUCAGUGGAUCUGGGAUGAGACAAGGUCAUUGCCCAUGAUAGCCUGAGGUAUCUAAUUGCCAGUUAAGAAUAAUCCUUGUGGAUUCCUGGGAAUUUCCCUAGCACCAGGGUUCUUCCUUACCCCAUAAUGUCUCCCUUUAUCAAGAUAUUUCUUUCAUUGCUCUCCCACUCCAUCCCUCCCCAGCUCGACCAUCCCUUCCCCUCAUGUUCUCAUCCCCCAUCUUCUCCCCUCUAUUGCCCCCCAUCAUCCCUGGUUUACUCAUGGAGAUCUCCUCUGUUUCCCCUUCCCAAGAUGAUCCAUGCGUCCCUCUUAGGGUCCUCCUUGUUUCCUAGCUUCUCUAGAGCUGGGGGUUGUAGUCUUUGCUUUAUAUCUAGUAUCCACUUAUGAGUGAGUACAUACUAUGUUUGUCGUUCUGAGUCUGGGUUACCUCACUCAGGAUGAUAUUUUCUAGUUUUAUCCAUUUGCCUGCAAAUUUCAUGAUGUCAUUGUUUUUUACAGCUGAGUAAUACUCCAUUGUGUAUAUGCACCUGUCAGGGGCCAGCCCCGACCUGUCUAAGGGUUCUUGAGGGGAGGAGUGAGGAAUAUAUAUAUAGACACAGGAUAACUUCUGAAAGGCCCUGGGUUAAUACCCAGCCACCCCAACUUUAUUCAUAAUGGGCCUUUUAUACAUCAGCAAGGGGAGGGGCAAAAGACCUCCCAUUUCAAGAUCAAAGCACAAUGUACAACCAAGUAUAGACCCUUCAAAACACCUGGUAACCACACCCCUGGUCAGAUCAUCCUAUUAUGCUGCCCUGUUGAGUAAAGCAAGCUCAGACUUUCUGACCUUAAGUAAGGCCUUAGUAGGGAGCCUCUGUGGGUCCCCACAUUUUCUUUAUCCAUUCUUUGGUUGAGGGGCAUCUAGGUUGUUUCCAGGUUCUGGCUAUAUGAAAUACCCAGGAAUCCACAAGGAUGACCCCACAUUAGACUACUAGCAAUAGUGGAGAGGGUGCCUGAACUGGCCUACCCUGGUAAUCAGAUUGGUGAAUACACUAACUGUCAUCAUAGAGCCUUCAUCCAGGAACUGAUGGAAGCAGAUGCAGAGAAUCACAUCCAAGCACCAGGAUGAGCUCUGGGAGUCCAGUCAAAGAGAGGGAAGAAAGAUUAUAUGAGCAAGAUUACAUGAUCUUGGGGGGGCCAAGAUCAUGAUGGGGAAAUCUACAGUUCCAAGCUUGUAGGAACUCACAAACUUUAGACCGAUAACUGUGGAACCUGUAUGGGACCAAACAAGGCCCUCUGCAUAUGGGAGACAGUUGUGUAGCUUGGUCUGUUUGAGAGGCCCCUGGCAGUGGGAUCAGGAUCUAUCCCGGGUACAUGAACUGGCUUUUUGGAGCCCAAUACCUGUGGUGGGAUACCUUGCUCAGCCUAGAUGCAGUGGGGAGGGGCUUGGCCCUGCCUCAACUGAAUGUACCAGGCUUUGUUGACUCCCCAUGGGAG